UACGGAGGAUCCGAGCGUUAUCCGGAUUUAUUGGGUUUAAAGGGUGCGUAGGCGGCCUGUUAAGUCAGGGGUGAAAUACGGUGGCUCAACCAUCGCAGUGCCUUUGAUACUGAUGGGCUUGAAUCCAUUUGAAGUGGGCGGAAUAAGACAAGUAGCGGUGAAAUGCAUAGAUAUGUCUUAGAACUCCGAUUGCGAAGGCAGCUCACUAAGCUGGUAUUGACGCUGAUGCACGAAAGCGUGGGGAUCGAACAGG
This 253-nucleotide ribosomal RNA is filed under the name uncultured bacterium. Its description in RNAcentral is "partial 16S ribosomal RNA". It matches the Rfam family "Bacterial small subunit ribosomal RNA", at positions 524 to 776 of the family's 1533-position model. The record is from RNAcentral.